Oncorhynchus keta (chum salmon) is the source of this 1020-nucleotide long non-coding RNA. RefSeq lists it as uncharacterized. NCBI's taxonomy places the organism in Eukaryota, Metazoa, Chordata, Actinopteri, Salmoniformes, Salmonidae. The record is from RefSeq and is a predicted model, not a curated record. The transcript has 5 exons.
CCCUCUAACGAGACAGAAACCAACACAGGUGAAACCCCUUCCCUCUAACGAGACAGAAACCAACACAGGUGAAACCCCUUCCCUCUAACGAGACAGAAACCAACAGGUGAAACCCCUUCCCUCUAACGAGACAGAAACCAACAGGUGAAACCCCUUCCCUCUAACGAGACAGAAACCAACACAGGUGAAACCCCUUCCCUCUAACGAGACAGAAACCAACAGGUGAAACCCCUUCCCUCUAACGAGACAGAAACCAACAGGUGAAACCCCUUCCCUCUAACGAGACAGAAACCAACAGGUGAAACCCCUUCCCUCUAACGAGACAGAAACCAACAGGUGAAACCCCUUCCCUCUAACGAGACAGAAACCAACAGGUGAAACCCCUUCCCUCUAACGAGACAGAAACCAACACAGGUGAAACCCCUUCCCUCUAACGAGACAGAAACCAACAGGUGAAACCCCUUCCCUCUAACGAGACAGAAACCAACACAGGUGAAACCCCUUCCCUCUAACGAGACAGAAACCAACACAGGUGAAACCCCUUCCCUCUAACGAGACAGAAACCAACACAGGUGAAACCCCUUCCCUCUGACGAGACAGAAACCAACAGGUGAAACCCCUUCCCUCUAACGAGACAGAAACCAACAGGUGAAACCCCUUCCCUCUAACGAGACAGAAACCAACAGGUGAAACCCCUUCCCUCUAACGAGACAGAAACCAACACAGGUGAAACCCCUUCCCUCUAACGAGACAGAAACCAACACAGGUGAAACCCCUUCCCUCUAACGAGACAGAAACCAACACAGGUGAAACCCCUUCCCUCUGACGAGACAGAAACCAACAGGUGAAACCCCUUCCCUCUAACGAGACAGAAACCAACAGGUGAAACCCCUUCCCUCUAACGAGACAGAAACCAACAGGUGAAACCCCUUCUGACUUAAGGAGGCACCAAUAAGCCUAUCAUCCAACCUCAAAAACAUCCAUGUAAAAACCAAGACCUGUAACAGUGUGUACCAUAGA